GUGAGGAAUUUUCCGCAAUGGGCGAAAGCCCGACGGAGCAAUGCCGCGUGAAGGAUGAAGGCCUAUGGGUUGUAAACUUCUUUUCUCAGAAAAGAAUUAUGACGGUAUCUGAGGAAUAAGCAUCGGCUAACUCUGUGCCAGCAGCCGCGGUAAGACAGAGGAUGCAAGCGUUAUCCGGAAUGAUUGGGCGUAAAGCGUCUGUAGGUUGUUUAAAAAGUAUUCUGUCAAAGAUUAGGGCUUAACCCUAGAUAGGCAGAAUAAACUUUUAAGCUAGAGUUUGGUAGAGGCAGAGGGAAUUCCCGGUGGAGCGGUGAAAUGCGUAGAUAUCGGGAGGAACACCAAAGGCGAAGGCACUCUGCUGGGCCAAUACUAACACUGAGAGACGAAAGCGAGGGGAGCAAAUGGGAUUAGAAACCCUAGUAGUCC
RNAcentral lists this ribosomal RNA (426 nucleotides) under uncultured bacterium. Its description in RNAcentral is "bacterial SSU rRNA". It matches the Rfam family "Bacterial small subunit ribosomal RNA", at positions 354 to 796 of the family's 1533-position model. The record is from RNAcentral.